RNAcentral lists this unclassified non-coding RNA (338 nucleotides) under soil metagenome. Its description in RNAcentral is "partial contains 5.8S ribosomal RNA, internal transcribed spacer 2, and large subunit ribosomal RNA". The stretch from base 1 to 120 matches the Rfam family "5.8S ribosomal RNA", at positions 35 to 154 of the family's 154-position model. The record is from RNAcentral.
GAUGAAGAACGUAGCGAAAUGCGAUAAGUAAUGUGAAUUGCAGAAUUCAGUGAAUCAUCGAAUCUUUGAACGCACAUUGCGCCCGCCAGCAUUCUGGCGGGCAUGCCUGUUCGAGCGUCAUUUCAACCCUCAAGCUCUGCUUGGUGUUGGGGCCCUACGGUUGACGUAGGCCCUUAAAGGUAGUGGCGGACCCUCUCGGAGCCUCCUUUGCGUAGUAACUAACGUCUCGCAUUGGGAUUCGGAGGGACUCUUGCCGUAAAACCACCAAAUUUUCUAAUGGUUGACCUCGGAUCAGGUAGGAAUAUCCGCUGAACUUAAGCAUAUCAAUAAGCGGAGGA